This 254-nucleotide ribosomal RNA is filed under the name uncultured bacterium. RNAcentral's name for it is "partial 16S ribosomal RNA". It matches the Rfam family "Bacterial small subunit ribosomal RNA", at positions 524 to 776 of the family's 1533-position model. The record is from RNAcentral.
UACGAAGGGGGCUAGCGUUGUCCGGAAUUAUUGGGCGUAAAGAGCUCGUAGGCGGUGUGUCACGUCGGCCGUGAAAACCUGCAGCUUAACUGUGGGCGUGCGGUCGAUACGGGCAUCACUGGAGUUCGGCAGGGGAGACUGGAAUUCCUGGUGUAGCGGUGAAAUGCGCAGAUAUCAGGAGGAACACCGGUGGCGAAGGCGGGUCUCUGGGCCGAUACUGACGCUGAGGAGCGAAAGCGUGGGGAGCAAACAGG